Molecule: transfer RNA, 68 nt
Filed under: uncultured Dialister sp.
Lineage: Bacteria; Bacillati; Bacillota; Negativicutes; Veillonellales; Veillonellaceae
Rfam family: tRNA
About the family: Transfer RNA (tRNA) molecules are approximately 80 nucleotides in length.
Source: RNAcentral
GGGUAUAGCGCAAUUGAUAGAGCAACGGUCUCCAAAACCGUAGGUUGUGGGUUUGAGUCCCUCUACCC